RNAcentral lists this unclassified non-coding RNA (271 nucleotides) under Hevea brasiliensis (rubber tree). The record is from RNAcentral. Lineage: Eukaryota; Viridiplantae; Streptophyta; Magnoliopsida; Malpighiales; Euphorbiaceae.
GCUAAAUGUACAUAUGGAGAUACAUAGAUAUAUAGAGAUCGUUAGAUAUUGUAAAUAAGUUGGCAAUUGUUUAGUUUGUUUUUCUGGCUGUAUUAUUUAGAUAUUUACAUCCUAUUAUAUUUACAUAGUUCUGCCUUUUGGCUGCUUUUCAGAGUUGGGCAGCUCCACAUAAAAAUAACCUUUCAGUCUUCCUUCAUCAUGAUCUGGUACAGCUUGCAUUUGCUGCUUUCUAGAGUUGCUGAUGCAGUGAAUGACAAUAGGUGAUUUCUAU